AAGGCAUUACACAAGGGCAGCCAGUAACAUCUGGAUGUGCACAGCUGAAUCGUCAGACUAGAUUCAGUUCUCUGAGGUGUGAGUUUGAUCUCAGAGCUUAAGUCAGAGCAGCACAACCUUCAUCUGUGAUAUUACAAUUACUUAACCUGCAGAACAAUGACACAAUCUCUAAAUCUGUUUUUUCCAGUUUACAGUGAGGAUCCUUCAGUCCAUCAGAGAGCAGCGUCAGACCUUCAUCUCCUAUUUUAUUCUGAGACAGACUCAGUUCUCUGAGGUUUGAGUUUGAUCUCAGAGCUGAAGCCAGAGCAGCACAACCUUCAGCUGUGAUAUAACACCCCCAUAACCUGCAAAACAAUGACACAAUCUCUCAGUUCAGCAGAAACUACACAACCAUAGAGAGACUGGGAUAAAUACUAAAUCUGUUUUCUCCAGUUUAGUGAGGAUCCUUCAGUCCAUCAGAGAGCAGCAUCAGACCUCGACCUCCUAUUUUAUUCUCUGAAAGAUCCACUUCUCUGAGGAGUGAGUUUGAUCUCAGAGCUGAAGUCAGAGCAGCACAACCUUCAUCUGUGAUAUUACAAUCAAACAACCUGCAGAACAACGACACAAUCUCUCAGUUCAACUUAGAAAAUGUGCAGAGCGAUGGGUCCCCAGGACCAGAGAUAAGAACCACUGACAUAAAAUGAAUAUAAAUAUCAGUCGUCACUCUAUAUCUGUCAGUAACAUGAUAUUUAAAUGCUUAGUUUUAUUAUCAAAGUCCUGUAAUUUCACAACAUAUAAUGAAUGCAAUUCAAUAAUGUUUGAGAGAUGAACAAAUAAAUAUUCUUUAAAAGUCUGAUGGUAGAUCAUAUUUAAUAUAUUUGAACAUGAUUUAAAAAAAUGUAUGGAUGACUAAGUAAACCUCAGUCGACUCGCUUUAGCCCAGAAAAUGAUCAUCUAGAUAUAUCAUUAACAAUGUAAAGGUUAUUCUUGUUUACUUCAUAAAAUUAAGUUAAGAUUUAAAGGCAAAAAGACACACGUGAACCACGAACUUAAGAGACACAUUUUAAAACUAUUCUAAAAGACCUUGGGACACUUGAUAUUCAACAAUGUUUUUGAUCUGCCUGCACUGACACCAUUGUAUGCAAACUGAACUGAG
Megalobrama amblycephala (Wuchang bream) is the source of this 1135-nucleotide long non-coding RNA. RefSeq lists it as uncharacterized. The transcript is spliced from 4 exons. The record is from RefSeq and is a predicted model, not a curated record. Lineage: Eukaryota; Metazoa; Chordata; Actinopteri; Cypriniformes; Xenocyprididae.